GAUGAACGCUGGCGGCGUGCCUAAUACAUGCAAGUCGAGCGAACAGACGAGAAGCUUGCUCCUUUGACGUUAGCGGGGGACGGGUGAGUAACAAGUGGAUCAGAUACCUCUAUGUCUGGGAUAACUUCGGGAAACCGGAGCUAAUACCGGCUCAUAUAUUGAACCGCAUGGUUCAAUAGUGAAAGACGGUUUUGCUGUCACUUAUAGAUGGAUCCGCGUCGCAUUAGCUAGUUGGUAAGGUAACGGCUUACCAAGGCGACGAUGCGUAGCCGACCUGAGAGGAUGAUCAGCCACACUGGAACUGAGACACGGUCCAGACUCCUACGGGAGGCAGCAGUGGGGAAUAUUGCGCAAUGGGCGAAAGCCUGACCGAGCCACACCGCGUGAGUGAAGAAGGUCUUCGGGUUGUAAAACCCUUUUGUUAGGAAAGAACAAAUGUGGAAUAAACUAUGCACGUCUUGACGGUACCUAAACAGAAAGCCACGGCUAACUUCGUG
RNAcentral lists this ribosomal RNA (497 nucleotides) under uncultured bacterium. Its description in RNAcentral is "partial 16S ribosomal RNA". It matches the Rfam family "Bacterial small subunit ribosomal RNA", at positions 28 to 507 of the family's 1533-position model. The record is from RNAcentral.